GACAAAUUCUAUUUUUAGGCAUCUAUAAAAAUGUGCGAGCUGAUGAUGGGAUUUUAUUGACAACACCUGAACUCACACUUAAAAAGCAGCUGUGCUUCACUGUGAGAAACUUUGCUGUUUAUUGGGCGGGAUUUUAAGACAAUGUAUGGAAAUAAUUAGUAAAUGGAAUUUUAUACAUUUUUAAAUUCCUAUUUUGCCUGUCUUUUUCCCCUUCUACUACGUCAUAUUCUGCAAAAACCGAUUUCGCCCACGCGUCUCUUCUCACUCCACCACAAUCACCAUCACUUUCUCCAUCUCUCUUUCUCUCGUUCUACCUCUCUCUUUCGCACUUUCUCCUCUGUGCAAUCGAUAAAUGCGUGGUACGAUGUCAGCUCACUGCGCAGCUUUCGCCUCUGAUGACGUCAAUGGAAAAAGCUCAAUCCAAAACCAAAACAACAACAGUGCCUCCCUUAGGAGCCAACCACCUCCCUCUUACCAAAAUAAAUUGACAAAAGCCGGCAAAAGCUUGACAGGCGUCAGGAAAAUUGGAUUAUAGUAAAACUGAGAAAACAGAGAGGGAGAGAGGGAGAGAGAGAGCGGGACAGACAAAGAAUCCUUAUGGCGUUGGCGUUAGCUAAAGGCCCUUGAAAUGGCAAAAGUCUGUGAUGCGGGCGGAUCCAGAAUAUAUAUCCAUAUAACAUAAUAUGCAGAAAACAAAAUGAUUGAAAAUCAAUAUUUUGCGUUAUUAAAUUUUGUGACUAUUUUACACAUAAAUGUCUAGAACUGAUAAUUAAUUGUUAUCCUGUUCAUUCGCCUCUGAACAGAAAUAACCGCGAAACUCUCACCGCUCUCCCAAGCCAGACAGACAUCCUGGAAGAGAGAGAGAGAGCGAGCGAGUUUGACAGAAAGAGGAAUGUAAAAAACCUCGGUGGUAAAGAGUUUGAGUGCGAACGUCACGACCAUGACGUCACACUGACGUCAGUGGGCGUAUUGCCAAAAAGAAAACGCUGUUGCGGCGGAAUGAAUGAGGGCGACGGAAUGCUGCAAAAUGGCAGAUCGAUAU
This is a non-coding RNA of Drosophila melanogaster (fruit fly), 1042 nucleotides long. The record is from Ensembl. Lineage: Eukaryota; Metazoa; Arthropoda; Insecta; Diptera; Drosophilidae.